GUGCACGUUUCUGCAGCACAUAUACUAAAAUUGGAAUGAUACAGAGAAAAUUAGCAUGAGCCCUGCAAAAGGAUGAUAUGUAAAUUCGUGAAGCAUUCCAUAUUUUU
This is a small nuclear RNA of Pteronotus mesoamericanus, 107 nucleotides long. The record is from RefSeq and is a predicted model, not a curated record. NCBI's taxonomy places the organism in Eukaryota, Metazoa, Chordata, Mammalia, Chiroptera, Mormoopidae.